AGCUUUUUAACAAAUUGGCUGCUACGAAGACUGGUUGCUUCAAAUUUUGUUUUGGUGCUUUUGGAGAUUUGAUUGUACAAGAAAAUGAUCUACCUUGCAAUAUCAUUUUUCUUGCAAAUGAAGAAAUUCAGAGCAUCUAAGUCUUAAAUGUAUCUGCUAAAGUGUUGAUAUUAAUCCUUUAUGUUGUCCGGAAGUCAACGAACAACCAGACCAGGAAGGCGUGGAGCUUGAGCUUGAGCUGCAGCGACAAUGACAACUUGGGCGUCAACUUCAAAAAACAACAGUUCAAGUACUGCUCUCCUCCAGUUCAGUGGAAGCGUAGGAGGCAACCAUGGAGGUGAUAGACGCAAUGGCUUGAGCAUGACGGAUGGUUGUCCCUAAGUUUCUACCACUAAGUUGGUGCAUGCUCCAAUAUUACCAGGUCAGUGCUUCAAAUCAUCAGACCUUGGCGCUAUUCCUUGUCAUAGAGGAGAAGUAUGAUCAUGACCCUGCUCAAGUUCGGCCUCACUGCUGUCGCUGUAGCUGCUUCUAUGAGUCUCUAUAAUCUUCUUCGCCACCGGUUCAGUAACCCUCUCGGUUUUGUUCUCUCCUCUUCUCUUGUGCUCUCUGACCCAGACAUUGAUCGAUGUGACUCUUGUGAUGCCAGCCAUCAAGCUUCUCGUGCUUUGGUUACUGCUAAUGCUUGGCUCCUAAUGUAUAGGCGAGAGGAAGAUACAGUUGUACCUAAGAUUAGUAGUUCGCAUAUCAAAAGUCACCAUUCAGUUAGCAUGCGCACUUUAGCUAGCUUCCAAUUCACUUGUAGGUCUGAGAGAAAAGAGAGUGCCCUACCUUCUAUCUAGCUUCCAAUUAACUUGUAGGUGUACUAAGUUAUCCUUCAAUUUUCAGAUCAUGUACAACCUGAUUCAGUGCACAUGUUUCAGGGGCUAUAUUCAGUACAAAAUGCUCAAUGAAAAACCCUGCAAGUACUCUUAUUCAGCUAUCGCUCCAUCUCACUUUGUGAUAUUUAUCGCAGCAUUGUUCAGUAUUGCAUCUGUAGCUAAUUUAAUAGCCUGUUGUCAGGUCGUAAUACCGUUGA
Triticum dicoccoides is the source of this 1075-nucleotide long non-coding RNA. RefSeq lists it as uncharacterized. The transcript has 5 exons. The record is from RefSeq and is a predicted model, not a curated record. Lineage: Eukaryota; Viridiplantae; Streptophyta; Magnoliopsida; Poales; Poaceae.